UACAGAGGUGCCAAGCGUUAGGCGGAAUCACUGGGCUUAAAGCGCGUGUAGGUGGACGGGUAAGUAUCUUGUGAAAUCCCACGGCUCAACCGUGGAACUGCUGGAUAUACUGCUUGUCUUGAGGCACUUAGGGGCAGCUGGAACAAAUGGUGGAGCGGUGAAAUGCGUAGAUAUCAUUUGGAACGCCAAAGGCGAAAGCAGGCUGCUGGGAGUGAUCUGACACUGAGAC
This 229-nucleotide ribosomal RNA is filed under the name uncultured bacterium. Its description in RNAcentral is "partial 16S ribosomal RNA". It matches the Rfam family "Bacterial small subunit ribosomal RNA", at positions 524 to 752 of the family's 1533-position model. The record is from RNAcentral.